AUUUGGAGAGUUUGAUCCUGGCUCAGGACGAACGCUGGCGGCGUGCCUAAUACAUGCAAGUCGAGCGGAGCUUAUCCUUCGGGGUAAGCUUAGCGGCGGACGGGUGAGUAACACGUAGGCAACCUACCCUCUAGACUGGGAUAACUACCGGAAACGGUAGCUAAUACCGGAUAAUUCCU
RNAcentral lists this ribosomal RNA (179 nucleotides) under Paenibacillus sp. P32E. Its description in RNAcentral is "partial 16S ribosomal RNA". It matches the Rfam family "Bacterial small subunit ribosomal RNA", at positions 1 to 181 of the family's 1533-position model. The record is from RNAcentral. Lineage: Bacteria; Bacillati; Bacillota; Bacilli; Caryophanales; Paenibacillaceae. RNAcentral also lists the same sequence under 1 other name.